Molecule: unclassified non-coding RNA, 210 nt
Filed under: Hevea brasiliensis (rubber tree)
Lineage: Eukaryota; Viridiplantae; Streptophyta; Magnoliopsida; Malpighiales; Euphorbiaceae
Source: RNAcentral
AAUAUUAUAUAGUGUAAGAUCCAUCUGCUAGAACGAAAACAUUUACAUUAUAAAAAGAAAAAGAAAAUAAUUAAGAAAGGUUAUUUCAUUGUGAAAAUGUAUAAAUAAAUAAACUUGCAGUCUAAAUGCAUAUCCACUCUAAACAAAAAAACAAGAAACAGGCAAAAACAAAAAUAAAGUAGAGGCCUACACCAAGAGAGCUUGUUCUGG